CCCGCGCGCCUCCUCUCCUCCCACCCACGACGCCGCCGCCGCCACCCACACGCGUGCGAGAUGCGUCGCCGCCGCCGCCAUAGCCAUCCUCCGUCGCCCCCAUCUCGCCCGCCUCCCCCACAUUCCCAUUUCUGUCAGCAUCCCUGUGGCCGGCGCUGGCACUAGCAGCGGCAGGAGGCGGUGCGGGUUAGCGGCGGUGGGGGCAGCAACAGCAGCAGCGACAGACGUGCCGGUGUUGGGCCACCGGCCCGUGGAGGACAUGUGCAAGGUGUGCGUGGUACGCGGCGCGGCGGCGGAGGAGCGGGUGGAGGCGCUGCGGGUGAUGGAGACGUGGUCGUCGCAUCCCCAUCGACGGGAGGAGCGCAGGAACUACGAGCUCCCCUUCGGUGACCAGACCUUCUCCUCCUUUGCUCUUGGCAGCCACCGCUGCGCUCCCGUCAGCGCCGUCCUUGAGGUCUCACCUAUGUUCCAGGUUUGCUUCCUCUUGGAAGACAUGGGUGAAUCUGAGGAUGGAACGCAAGCUCCAUUAUGCUUCUCAACACUCAGGCUCCCCCCUUCUCUUUCUCUCUGAUCCGUGUUUUCUUUCUUAUAGUCAUUGUUGAUGCUUGAUUUGUUCAGAGAGGAUUUUCUCUGUAGCCUACAAGCUUUACAUUUGCCAACUAAGCUUAUAUUUCUAUUAAAUCACUAAUAGUCGGGUAUUUUCAACUAAAAAAUAAUAUAAAUAGCAUGGUAUUCUAACCUGCAGUUCUAGGCUGUGCAUAGUGAAAACUAUUUUGUAUCAACAGUUCAUUCAUGAGAAACAUUUAAAUUGCUUUAUCUAUGCGAUGGACAUUUAUUUGAUUGCAUAUGCUUGGUACACUCUUUCUGAGACACCGUUGCUAAACUGUAUUUAGAAAUAACUCAUGCACACUAAUUCCAUACUUGAAUGGUUAAUGGGCUCACUGUUCUAUAGUAGAAUUUCUACUUUUGUUUCUCUGAUAUUUGGUUUAUCUUCAGGCACUACCAAUAUACUGAACUAUGACUAAAAUUAUUUGGCAAACUUCAUGAGUGAGUUGAGAUUGAAGGUUAUUACUGGCUAUUGAUGUGAUGGCACCUAUCAUGGCAAACUUCACGAGUGACCAAAUAUCAGGUGGACCAGCAUCUGUGGGCUUUGUUCUAUUCGUCGGUCACCCUUGCCUUGGCACUAGCCGUGCAAUGGAAGAGGAGUGUGGUUAGGGUUUGGUUGUGCUUUCAAGAUCCGUUGAUGUCGUACCUGCUGUGGAACUUUGUCGUGUCUGUUUUCUGUGGCCGUUGUUAGGGUCUGCUCUUCUCUGGACUACGGUUCAAUAGAAAUAACUCAUGCAUUGCUAAUUCCCUACUUGAAAGCUACUAUUGUGAAGGCAACUGUCAUGGCAAACUUCACGAGUGAGCAAAUAUCAGGUUUAUGGCAAGCACCGACAUACACGAGUGAUUCAGAAUGUGUGCUUUGUAUCUAGGUUGCCCGAUGACCAGUUCAUUCCUCUCAGUCGGAUGCUUUAUUGGGUGUCGGCUGUAGAGACGGAAGAGGAGGUUGAUACAUCCUUGGCGCCUGCUGUAGCGACCACGACCACAUGUGUCUAAAAGAGAGAAUAUUGUAGGAAGGGUGGACUAUGAAGGGAAACACUGGUGUUCUAAGAUAGAUGUUCUGUGUUUGAGAUCUUUCCUUGGUAGCUGGAUGCCUUGGAGCAAUACAUUCAAGGUUUUUUGAUGCGUUCGUGCUCGUCGGUGGGACGGUGCAAGGCACAACUCCGUUGCGGUUCCUCGCCGGUUGGACGGUGUUCAGGCGCAACCCCGGCGCGCACUAAGUACUGCCUCGGCUACAGCCUCCCUCGCUAUGCUCCUGGAUUUGCAAGAUUGAUCAGUGGCGUUCGUGCUAGGGCGAUGAUGAUUAAUCGUGGCUGAAAUAAGUGUGCCUUUGAGCAAUUGUGGCACCUGUGCGUACUAGAUUGGAUCCUCACUCUUGUCUCAAGAAUCCUUUUUGAACUUGUGAUACUUGUUCUUGUCCUUGGAUGGUCAUUCUUGUUGAGUGAUAACCAGGGCAGCUCCACUGUAUGAACAGAUUGAUCUGGUGAUAAGAGAUGAUGGGGGUUAGGUUAUAUGAUCGAGGAAAUGUGAAUCUGAGCCCGCUAUGCAUCCCCUUGUUAGAGUCUGAACCGAAAUGGAGCUCUCCCGUGCGUUUGGAUUCUAGACUGUCGGAUCGAAAUCUCCUCGCGAUACAGGCUGUUGGAUCUCGAUCCAAAUCGCUGUGGGUCGUUGGAUAUUUACCGGAUCAACUUCGGCUGUAGGAUAAAAUUCCAAUGGCAACAAAAUGUAAAUACCGUGCCCCCACGAGGGCAUCUGGGUCAUUUUUCUUGGGGGGGGGGGUAUAAAAUGACCGCGGCUUCCUACGAUGAAAACCUAGCUGCCGCCUCCUCUCUCACUCGCUCUUGCAGCUGCCUCCCUCCCUCUCACGCAGGUGGUUCCCAUGGCGAUGGCGGCAGCGGACAUGGUGGAGGGCUGCAUAUCAGCGGCGCCGACAAUGGUGUCCGUGGCGGCUAUGCAAUGAACCCUGAACCAUUUUUUAUUUGUAUUUAAAGGUUUUGCUUAUUUAUGCUCAAGUGUUGUUCGUGCUAGGGCGAUGAUGAUUACCUUGGCUGGAAUUAGUGUGCCUUUGAGCAAUCGAGGCACUAGUGGGUAUCAAGUUGGAUCCUCCCUCUUGUCUCUAGAAUCCUUUUUGAUCAUGUGAUAGUUGUUGUUGUACUUCGAUGGUCAUUCUUGUUGAGUGAUAACCAGGGCAUCUCUACUGUAUAAACAGAUCGAUCUGGUGAUAAGAGAUGAUGGGGGUAGGUUAUAUGAUCGAGGAAAGGCAAAUCUGAGCCCACUAUGCAAUAAAACUGCAGCUACCUCCCCUAAUCCAAGAUGAGUGCUCUACGCUUACGGCUCAUGCUAACUGAACUGGUGAUGUUUCUUUCUUCACCUUGAUUGACCCCACAUGUUCCCCUAGUUGUCGCGUCGUCCUCGUCUUUGGCUUGCAAGGGACUAGAUCUGGUGUGAUUGAUUCUUCCUCUCGCAAGGUUAUGAUGGCUGACAAACAGCUCCAAGUUCAUGGGUCGCCAGGCUCGCCGAGUGAUGCUAGCUCCAACGAUGGUCUGUGAGCACUUACCCAGGUCAAUUGAUAUUUGUGGUGGCCUGGAAUGUUGUAAUCCUUUUGCUGUAUGUCAGAUUUCUAUUUGCUUGAUCAAACUUUGGCUGCAAUACGGUAGUAGGUAGAGAAGUAGGUUUUUGCCCUAAAGUUAUAUUAUCUAUUUACAAGUCUCUCAUGAAGGAGUACCACUCUAUGAACUUUUUGUGUUUGUGGUUUUUUAUACUUGAAA
Molecule: long non-coding RNA, 3371 nt
Organism: Triticum dicoccoides
Lineage: Eukaryota; Viridiplantae; Streptophyta; Magnoliopsida; Poales; Poaceae
Exons: 11
Source: RefSeq, a predicted model, not a curated record